Molecule: unclassified non-coding RNA, 332 nt
Filed under: soil metagenome
Description: partial contains 5.8S ribosomal RNA, internal transcribed spacer 2, and large subunit ribosomal RNA
Rfam family: 5.8S ribosomal RNA (bases 1-120)
Source: RNAcentral
GAUGAAGAACGUAGCGAAAUGCGAUAAGUAAUGUGAAUUGCAGAAUUCAGUGAAUCAUCGAAUCUUUGAACGCACAUUGCGCCCCCCAGUAUUCUGGCGGGCAUGCCUGUUCGAGCGUCAUUUCAACCAUCAAGCCCUGCUUGUGUUGGGGUCCUGCGGCUGCCCGCAGGCCCUGAAAACCAGUGGCGGGCUCGCUAGUCACACCGAGCGCAGUAGCACAUCUCGCUCAGGGCGUGCGGCGGGCUCCAGCCGUUAAAGCACCCACCUUUCGCAAGGUUGACCUCGGAUCAGGUAGGAAUACCCGCUGAACUUAAGCAUAUCAAUAAGCGGAG